GACGAACGCUGGCGGCGUGCUUAACACAUGCAAGUCGAACGGAAAGGCCCUGCUUUUGUGGGGUGCUCGAGUGGCGAACGGGUGAGUAACACGUGAGUAACCUGCCCUUGACUUUGGGAUAACUUCAGGAAACUGGGGCUAAUACCGGAUAGGAGCUCCUGCUGCAUGGUGGGGGUUGGAAAGUUUCGGCGGUUGGGGAUGGACUCGCGGCUUAUCAGCUUGUUGGUGGGGUAGUGGCUUACCAAGGCUUUGACGGGUAGCCGGCCUGGGAGGGUGACCGGCCACAUUGGGACUGAGAUACGGCCCAGACUGCUACGGGAGGCACCAGUGGGGAAUAUUGCACAAUGGGCGGAAGCCUGAUGCAGCAACGCCGCGUGCGGGAUGACGGCCUUCGGGUUGUAAACCGCUUUCGCCUGUGACGAAGCGUGAGUGACGGUAAUGGGUAAAGAAGCACCGGCUAACUACGUG
RNAcentral lists this ribosomal RNA (468 nucleotides) under uncultured bacterium. Its description in RNAcentral is "partial 16S ribosomal RNA". It matches the Rfam family "Bacterial small subunit ribosomal RNA", at positions 28 to 507 of the family's 1533-position model. The record is from RNAcentral.